AACGGAGAAUUGAGCAGCUCGAGCAUGAUGUGUCCAGCCUCACAAGAGGUUUCACGUGUUGCUUGCCGCCACACAGUCCCUGCCAGCCUCUUCCCGAUCUGUCUCUUGGCUGUCAUGUGACUUUCUCUUAACUCCAAUGAAACAGGGUUUCUCCCCACACCUAGCUACUCGAGAGAUGCUCGACUUGAUCACUCGUUAGGACUCACACAUGUGGGUAGCGACGAAGAUAUCUUUGACGUGUGUUGUGGGAGGAAAGUUACCACGUUAAGGUAUACGAGACUGUAAUACUCUUCUGACAGUAAAGUCUUUCAACUUUGCACCACAUGUGAAAGAAAAAUAACCUGUAGUUGAGGAAAGAACAUUUAGGAUUACACAGCUACAGUCUUGUUUGGUUUGUUCGAGAUUAAAGAACUAAGCCUUAUCGGCGCCAGCACGGGAAUCUAGUUUCUCAGGAGAUUUUGGUUCCCCAGAGAUUACAACGUGUACAAGCCUGUACAGAAAAGCUAAGGAGGAAAUAAACUUUGGACCCGCCAACGACAAAACAACGUUACAACAACAGUAUGAUGACAAAUGAUACGGCAGUAUACGGUAACGUAUCCUCACGCUCAGUC
Molecule: unclassified non-coding RNA, 611 nt
Filed under: Limulus polyphemus (Atlantic horseshoe crab)
Lineage: Eukaryota; Metazoa; Arthropoda; Merostomata; Xiphosura; Limulidae
Description: ras association domain-containing protein 10-like, transcript variant X1
Source: RNAcentral